AACGAACGCUGGCGGCAUGCCUAACACAUGCAAGUCGAACGAGACCUUCGGGUCUAGUGGCGCACGGGUGCGUAACGCGUGGGAACCUGCCCUUAGGUUCGGAAUAACUCCCCGAAAGGGGUGCUAAUACCGGUUAAUGUCUUCGGACCAAAGAUUUAUCGCCUUUGGAUGGGCCCGCGUUGGAUUAGCUAGUUGGUAGGGUAAAAGCCUACCAAGGCGACGAUCCAUAGCUGGUCUGAGAGGAUGAUCAGCCACACUGGGACUGAGACACGGCCCAGACUCCUACGGGAGGCAGCAGUGGGGAAUAUUGGACAAUGGGCGAAAGCCUGAUCCAGCAAUGCCGCGUGAGUGAUGAAGGCCUUAGGGUUGUAAAGCUCUUUUACCCGGGAUGAUAAUGACAGUACCGGGAGAAUAAGCACCGGCUAACUCCGUG
Molecule: ribosomal RNA, 433 nt
Filed under: uncultured bacterium
Lineage: Bacteria
Description: partial 16S ribosomal RNA
Rfam family: Bacterial small subunit ribosomal RNA
Source: RNAcentral